This 82-nucleotide transfer RNA is filed under the name Saccoglossus kowalevskii. RNAcentral's name for it is "tRNA-Leu". It matches the Rfam family "tRNA". Rfam says of the family: Transfer RNA (tRNA) molecules are approximately 80 nucleotides in length. Their secondary structure includes four short double-helical elements and three loops (D, anti-codon, and T loops). Further hydrogen bonds mediate the characteristic L-shaped molecular structure. tRNAs have two regions of fundamental functional importance: the anti-codon, which is responsible for specific mRNA codon recognition, and the 3' end, to which the tRNAs corresponding amino acid is attached (by aminoacyl-tRNA synthetases). tRNAs cope with the degeneracy of the genetic code in two manners: having more than one tRNA (with a specific anti-codon) for a particular amino acid; and 'wobble' base-pairing, i.e. permitting non-standard base-pairing at the 3rd anti-codon position. The record is from RNAcentral. Lineage: Eukaryota; Metazoa; Hemichordata; Enteropneusta; Harrimaniidae.
GGUAGCGUAGCCGAGCGGUCUAAGGCGCUGGUUUUAGGCACCAGUCAUUUCGAUGGCGUGGGUUCGAAUCCCACCGCUGCCA